This 76-nucleotide transfer RNA is filed under the name Candidatus Staskawiczbacteria bacterium RIFCSPHIGHO2_02_FULL_42_22. RNAcentral's name for it is "tRNA-Val". It matches the Rfam family "tRNA". From Rfam's summary of the family: Transfer RNA (tRNA) molecules are approximately 80 nucleotides in length. Their secondary structure includes four short double-helical elements and three loops (D, anti-codon, and T loops). Further hydrogen bonds mediate the characteristic L-shaped molecular structure. tRNAs have two regions of fundamental functional importance: the anti-codon, which is responsible for specific mRNA codon recognition, and the 3' end, to which the tRNAs corresponding amino acid is attached (by aminoacyl-tRNA synthetases). tRNAs cope with the degeneracy of the genetic code in two manners: having more than one tRNA (with a specific anti-codon) for a particular amino acid; and 'wobble' base-pairing, i.e. permitting non-standard base-pairing at the 3rd anti-codon position. The record is from RNAcentral. Lineage: Bacteria; Candidatus Staskawicziibacteriota.
GCGCGGUUAGCUCAUUUAGCAGAGCGCAUCGUUGACGUCGAUGAGGUAAUAGGUGCAAUUCCUAUACCGCGCACCA